Molecule: non-coding RNA, 1004 nt
Organism: Chelonoidis abingdonii (Abingdon island giant tortoise)
Lineage: Eukaryota; Metazoa; Chordata; Testudines; Testudinidae
Source: RefSeq, a predicted model, not a curated record
UCAACUCUUUCAAGGAUAGAGUUCCCCAUUCUGGCAUGAAGCAGCUGGUCUAGUGGGACUGCAGUCUGCAAUGAGCUUCCUGGGUCGGGCUGUCUUCCACUGCCACUCCCAGGUUUCACACCUGCCUGUAAAACAGCUCCUGACUGCCUACUUCGCCCAGCCAGGCCACUGGCUGGGCCCUUCGCAGGACAGGAUGUCUCGUGUGAAUGGCUCUAUUCCAGCUGCCAGCCAAAGUCAGCAAGAAGCUAUUGGAAAAAAGAGGUUACAUAUUUUAUGAAACUGAUGUUCAAAUGAUUGUCUAUUUGUAUUCCAGUCUUGGGUGUCUGCACAUCCCUGCACCAGAGUUUAGAAUUGCUUAGAUCAGCAGUGAUUGUUGGCCCAUAUCUGUGCCCUACCUGCCCUGAUGCCCCUCUACUGAGGGUAUAGAGGGGCAGGAUAUUUAAAGGGAGUAUUGAACUAUUGGAAUAUCUGGUUUCCAGCCACUCUGCUGCUACCAAAGAAGGUGAAUAUCCUUGAGUUUAAUAUAACAUGGCACUCCUGUUUCCAUUAAUUAAUAUGGCUAUGGAUAGAUCUGCUAAAAUGUUUCCAUUGCUAUAAUUCUGUAAAGCCAGCUUUGUGUUUAUAUUCUUCUAGUCCACAGCUUUCUACAGUGAAAAUUAUUUCAAAAGUUAAAAGGGGGGAGAAUACCAGUGUAAAGAGAGGUCAACACGUUUUAAAAUAUAGAGUGGUUUAGAACUAAAAUACAUUUAUUUAUAUUAUAUAUAUUUUCUGACCACAGACUGGUACAGACUCUGCCCCUGAAAUUCUUCUUGCUGUCAAGCUUCACAAACAAACAAGCACCUAGAAAUUAAUUAUGCACAUCAUCACUUGGAUGUAGAGGCCAAGUGUUCCCCAUACACUUUGCUAUUUAGGGCAGUGUCUCUCAAGCAGGGGCACACAUCCCCCGAGGAGGGUACUCAGAGGUCUUCCAGGGGAUACAUCAACUCAUCUAGAUAUUUGCCUAG